RNAcentral lists this ribosomal RNA (128 nucleotides) under uncultured eukaryote. RNAcentral's name for it is "partial 18S ribosomal RNA". It matches the Rfam family "Eukaryotic small subunit ribosomal RNA", at positions 1679 to 1801 of the family's 1831-position model. The record is from RNAcentral.
CUACUACCGAUUGAAUGGCUCAGUGAGGCUCUCUCGGACUGGCCUAGAGAGGGCGGCAACGCUCACUCAGGGCUCGGAAAGCUGGUCAAACUUGGUCAUUUAGAGGAAGUAAAAGUCGUAACAAGGUU